AUCGAACGCUGGCGGCAUGCUUUACACAUGCAAGUCGAACGGUAGCACAGGGAGCUUUCUCCUGGGUGUCGAGUGUCGAACGGGUGAGUAAUGUAUCGGGACGUGCCUGUUAGUGGGGGAUAACUACUCUAAAGAGUGGCUAAUACCGCAUGUGAUCUUUGGAUGAAAGCGGGGGACCUUCGGGCCUCGUGCUACUGCAGCUGCCGAUAUCUGAUUAGGUUGUUGGUGGGGUAAAGGCAUACCAAGCCUGCGAUCUGUAGCUGGUCUGAGAGGACGACCAGCCACACUGGGACUGAGACACGGGCCAGACUCCUACGGGAGGCAGCAGUGGGGAAUAUUGGACAAUGGGCGCAAGCCUGAUCCAGCAAUGCCGCGUGUAGGACGAAGGCCUUCGGGUUGUAAACUGCUUUUGUACAGAACGAAAAGUGUAUGGCUAAUAUCUAGAGAUAAUGACGGUACUGUAAGAAUAAGCACCGGCUAACUACGUG
Molecule: ribosomal RNA, 488 nt
Filed under: uncultured bacterium
Lineage: Bacteria
Description: partial 16S ribosomal RNA
Rfam family: Bacterial small subunit ribosomal RNA
Source: RNAcentral